UACGUAGGUGGCAAGCGUUAUCCGGAUUUAUUGGGCGUAAAGGGAACGCAGGCGGUCUUUUAAGUCUGAUGUGAAAGCCUUCGGCUUAACCGGAGUAGUGCAUUGGAAACUGGGAGACUUGAGUGCAGAAGAGGAGAGUGGAACUCCAUGUGUAGCGGUGAAAUGCGUAGAUAUAUGGAAGAACACCAGUGGCGAAAGCGGCUCUCUGGCCUGUAACUGACACUGAGGCGCGAAAGCGUGGGGAGCAAACAGG
This 253-nucleotide ribosomal RNA is filed under the name uncultured bacterium. Its description in RNAcentral is "partial 16S ribosomal RNA". It matches the Rfam family "Bacterial small subunit ribosomal RNA", at positions 524 to 776 of the family's 1533-position model. The record is from RNAcentral.